UGCCCUUGGGUCCGGCAUAACCCCGGGAAACUGGGGAUAAUUCCGGAUAACGCACAUAUGCUGGAAUGCUUUAUGCGUCAAAUGGAUUCGUCUGCCCAAGGAUGGGUCUGCGGCCUAUCAGGUAGUAGUGGGUGUAAUGUACCUACUAGCCGACGACGGGUACGGGUUGUGAGAGCAAGAGCCCGGAGAUGGAUUCUGAGACAUGAAUCCAGGCCCUACGGGGCGCAGCAGGCGCGAAAACUUUACAAUGCGGGAAACCGUGAUAAGGGGACACCGAGUGCCAGCAUCAUAUGCUGGCUGUCCGGGUGUGUAAAAUACACCUGUUAGCAAGGGCCGGGCAAGACCGGUGCCAGCCGCCGCGGUAACACCGGCGGCCCGAGUGGUGAUCGUGAUUAUUGGGUCUAAAGGGUCCGUAGCCGGUUUGGUCAGUCCUCCGGGAAAUCUGACGGCUUAACCGUUAGGCUUUCGGAGGAUACUGCCAGGCUUGGAACCGGGAGAGGUAAGAGGUACUACAGGGGUAGGAGUGAAAUCUUGUAAUCCCUGUGGGACCAC
RNAcentral lists this ribosomal RNA (552 nucleotides) under Methanosarcina sp. enrichment culture clone B09. RNAcentral's name for it is "bacterial SSU rRNA". It matches the Rfam family "Archaeal small subunit ribosomal RNA", at positions 110 to 660 of the family's 1478-position model. Lineage: Archaea; Methanobacteriati; Methanobacteriota; Methanomicrobia; Methanosarcinales; Methanosarcinaceae. The record is from RNAcentral.